This 964-nucleotide ribosomal RNA is filed under the name Aspergillus fumigatus. RNAcentral describes it as "eukaryotic LSU rRNA". The stretch from base 380 to 964 matches the Rfam family "Eukaryotic large subunit ribosomal RNA", at positions 1 to 590 of the family's 3401-position model. Lineage: Eukaryota; Fungi; Ascomycota; Eurotiomycetes; Eurotiales; Aspergillaceae. The record is from RNAcentral.
CAUGAACGCUGUUCUGAAAGUAUGCAGUCUGAGUUGAUUAUCGUAAUCAGUUAAAACUUUCAACAACGGAUCUCUUGGUUCCGGCAUCGAUGAAGAACGCAGCGAAAUGCGAUAAGUAAUGUGAAUUGCAGAAUUCAGUGAAUCAUCGAGUCUUUGAACGCACAUUGCGCCCCCUGGUAUUCCGGGGGGCAUGCCUGUCCGAGCGUCAUUGCUGCCCUCAAGCACGGCUUGUGUGUUGGGCCCCCGUCCCCCUCUCCCGGGGGACGGGCCCGAAAGGCAGCGGCGGCACCGCGUCCGGUCCUCGAGCGUAUGGGGCUUUGUCACCUGCUCUGUAGGCCCGGCCGGCGCCAGCCGACACCCAACUUUAUUUUUCUAAGGUUGACCUCGGAUCAGGUAGGGAUACCCGCUGAACUUAAGCAUAUCAAUAAGCGGAGGAAAAGAAACCAACAGGGAUUGCCUCAGUAACGGCGAGUGAAGCGGCAAGAGCUCAAAUUUGAAAGCUGGCCCCUUCGGGGUCCGCGUUGUAAUUUGCAGAGGAUGCUUCGGGUGCAGCCCCCGUCUAAGUGCCCUGGAACGGGCCGUCAUAGAGGGUGAGAAUCCCGUCUGGGACGGGGUGUCUGCGUCCGUGUGAAGCUCCUUCGACGAGUCGAGUUGUUUGGGAAUGCAGCUCUAAAUGGGUGGUAAAUUUCAUCUAAAGCUAAAUACUGGCCGGAGACCGAUAGCGCACAAGUAGAGUGAUCGAAAGAUGAAAAGCACUUUGAAAAGAGAGUUAAACAGCACGUGAAAUUGUUGAAAGGGAAGCGUUUGCGACCAGACUCGCCCGCGGGGUUCAGCCGGCAUUCGUGCCGGUGUACUUCCCCGUGGGCGGGCCAGCGUCGGUUUGGGCGGCCGGUCAAAGGCCCUCGGAAUGUAUCACCUCUCGGGGUGUCUUAUAGCCGAGGGUGCAAUGCGGCCUGCCUGGACC